Molecule: ribosomal RNA, 252 nt
Filed under: uncultured bacterium
Lineage: Bacteria
Description: partial 16S ribosomal RNA
Rfam family: Bacterial small subunit ribosomal RNA
Source: RNAcentral
UACGUAGGGUGCAGGCGUUAAUCGGAAUUACUGGGCGUAAAGCGUGCGCAGGCGGUUUGCUAAGACAGGUGUGAAAUCCCCGGGCUUAACCUGGGAACUGCGCUUGUUACUGGCAGGCUUGAGUGUGGCAGAGGGGGGUGGAAUUCCACGUGUAGCAGUGAAAUGCGUAGAGAUGUGGAGGAACACCGAUGGCGAAGGCAGCCCCCUGGGCUAACACUGGACGCCUCGAUGCACGAAAGCGUGGGGAGCGAA